AUACGUAGGGUGCAAGCGUUAAUCGGAAUUACUGGGCGUAAAGCGUGCGCAGGCGGUUUUGUAAGACAGAGGUGAAAUCCCCGGGCUCAACCUGGGAACUGCCUUUGUGACUGCAAGGCUAGAGUACGGCAGAGGGGGAUGGAAUUCCGCGUGUAGCAGUGAAAUGCGUAGAUAUGCGGAGGAACACCGAUGGCGAAGGCAAGCCCCUGGGCCUGUACUGACGCUCAUGCACGAAAGCGUGGGGAGCAAACAGGAUUAGAUACCCUGGUAGUCCACGCCCUAAACGAUGUCAACUGGUUGUUGGGGAUAUAUUUUCUCAGAAACGAAGCUAACGCGUGAAGUUGACCGCCUGGGGAGUACGGCCGCAAGGUUAAAACUCAAAUGAAUUGGCGGGG
RNAcentral lists this ribosomal RNA (395 nucleotides) under uncultured bacterium. RNAcentral describes it as "partial 16S ribosomal RNA". It matches the Rfam family "Bacterial small subunit ribosomal RNA", at positions 523 to 918 of the family's 1533-position model. The record is from RNAcentral.